CCUUUUCUUGGUAGGGACCAGGCAUGUUGUACCAUUUUACCUUCUGUACAGAGGCUGAGGGAAAGGGCUCUGGCCCUCUUGGAGUCAUUUCUCCGGCGAGGCAGCUUCUGUCUGCCUGUUCUACUCUCAAGCUUUGGGGUACUU
This 144-nucleotide small nucleolar RNA is filed under the name Carlito syrichta (Philippine tarsier). Its description in RNAcentral is "Small nucleolar RNA SNORA57 (ENSTSYG00000020497.2)". It matches the Rfam family "Small nucleolar RNA SNORA57". From Rfam's summary of the family: U99 belongs to the H/ACA class of snoRNAs which are thought to guide the sites of modification of uridines to pseudouridines, the target for this family is unknown. Lineage: Eukaryota; Metazoa; Chordata; Mammalia; Primates; Tarsiidae. The record is from RNAcentral.